GUAUAUAUAUAUAUGUAGUAUAAAGGGCAGAAAUAAUGCAGUCUGUUCAGAUAGGUUAUUCUUCACAUUAGCACCCAACUUCACUAUCAAACCAGAAAAUUGAAAUAAUUUGAUACUUUUGCAUCUCAAGCUUCUCAACUUUACCUUAAAAAGCUCCACCGGAGUAAACCAUGAUAUAUCGCUCUGCUUGUAGAUAGCAUUCACAUGCUUCGUGUAAGCUUUCCGGCCUAUAAAUUUGCACUUUGAACAGUUAAAGCACAUACAUAAUAACAACUCUAAAGCAUCCAAGUAAGAGCAGUUGUAAGACCUAAUGCUUCAAGCUCCAUCUAAUAGUUCCCAAGGCCCACAAUGUGAUUUAUGUCAUAGUAAAGAAUUCUACUUCCCCGACCUAUGAGAGAAAGGUGACUACUAAGUAGCAACCCUCAGCUCCAGAAGGAAGCAGGUCGACAUGUGAAUUUAUUAAAUGCUUCUCAAUUCAUAGACACUACUUAUAACCUAAAGGGGGCAUUUAAUUUUGAGGAUUAGCCUUUAUAGAUAAAAAUAGUAAGGCUAAUUCCCUUGUUUACUUAGAUGGAUUGAAACUUUGGGAUAUCCCAAGGCCCUUGACUAUUUCUAUUAUUUAAACUAAUUUUGCUUGAUUCAUAUCCCAUUGAAAGGGUGAGAUUGGAGAAAUCCUACUCUUGAGGAUAAAAAUACUCAAAUCAUAAAAAGUAAACGCCCCUGAAAGGUACUUAUGAAUUGUAAGCAAAUCAGAGGAGAUUGUUUAACAUUGCACUGAAAUGGAAAUCGUUUAUCAAGCCACUCAGCUGACAAUCUUGGUAAUCAUGAGCUUCUAAAUGUUCAUUUACUUUGAAAACAACAUGCACCCCUUUUUCACAUCAGUAAAUUAUUCUUGACAAAAUCAUCUUCAGAAAAGCUAAAUUAAGCUGGCAGAUAAAAUCACAAACACUCUACCAAUUCAUAAUACAAUCAUAACCUUCCUUAGCAACACACUAAACUAAGAAAUGCAAGAAGUGAUAACAGGAACUCUAUCUUAAAGAAACAAAUCUAGUAAACAAUAAUUAUCCACAAACAUGUCAGCUAACCGUCGAGCUGAUUGAACUUAAUGCUUCGAUCAAGCACUCCAACUGAGCCCGAUCUUUGAGAAAAAUACCCAUGUUCCGGAUCAUACAAAGCCGCAUGAAUAAAAUCCCUAACCUUCAAAUAUUUAAAAAAAAUGUUGAACAAAAUGAGAAAGACUAAAAUUCCAAAAGCAACAUCAAUCAAAACCAAUUCUUUAAUAGACGGAACCACGGACAAAGAGGAGGCGGAGCGAGAGAUUACAAGAAUUGGGGAUUCACCAACAAAGUUUGUGGAGAAGUAGGCCGGGGAAAAUGGGUUCACUGCAAAAGGAAGAUCGUUGAGUGAAAUCACACAAAAUUAAUUUGCACCUGACACCACACACACACACACACAACAUAGAAGACCUUUAGAAGAGAAAAGGAAGGAGGAGAGGGGUUUGGAGGCGGCAAUGCGAGCGGCCAUUUCUGCACUCUUUUCAACGAUUAAUUUGUUAUCAUCCCCUGUUUUAGCUUGUUCGUCUACACUCAACACUUCAUUUUCUGUGUUUCUCUCAGCGGGGUUUUGUCGAGAGAGAAACCAUUGAAGAAACGCGACUUCCUGAGGUUUAUCUGUAGUUGUCCUCACGACUUCAUGAAUUUAAGAAUAAUAAUUUAGUACUUAAAUUAUUAAUUUCUCAACAAAAAUAUCUCGAAUUAUGCAAAGUAUUGAACAUUCUUGACCUAUUGUCUAUUGAGUAAGCAAAUUUGAACAUAUGUUCCUUUCGUUUAACUUAACUUAAUUUUUGUUUUUUUAACACGAUUAUUUGAAAGUAUUAAAUUAUAGUAGUAUAAAAUUGGAGUAUGAGUUAAUACAAAAUAAUUACUUACAAAAAUAGGCCAAAUAAUGGGACAUGGUUUUGGGCCUUUGUGGGUAAAAAUGAUAGUAUAUCAUCAUUAUUUUUUUACUAUUUUGUUAAAACAGAAUCUUGAAUAUAUGUGUGUUAUCAUGUCAUCUGUGCUUGAGAUUGAGACAAACAAAGUGGAUUUCAGUAAAAGCCAUGAUUACAUUUCCACUUGAGAAAGAAAAAAGGAAAAGGAAAGAAGAGAAUAUCAGAUAUCCUAAUUCGAAAACCAUUAUUCCAUAGACGAAUUCCACAUUUCUACUUUACUUUUCUUCUACCCAAUUCCAUUCUUUAACCUUCUUUUCUGCUUAAAUAUAAAAUAUCUGCUUCUGCAUUUGCUCUCUGUGAUCUUAGGUCUCAAAGCCAUGAGAUAUCCACAAGGACAAGGUAAAAGUCUCUGCAUUUUUUUUAAAGUGUGGUUUUUAUCUUUUCAUCAUAUUCAAAGUUGAGUGAUAUAUCUGUUAUUUGAAGAUUAAUGAUGCAAGGAUAUUGUGCUUUUUUCUGGUGAAAUUCUUUUGUGUGAACGGUGUGAGGUUAUGGUAAUAUUUGAAUAGCCAAAAAGUGUACAUUUUUAUAGAUUAGCAAAUAAUUAAUGUCUGUUGUUCUCAUUUUAACUCAUUUGCUAAUCACAUGUAGAAUUGGUUGAAAAUUGAUCAUAGUCUAUCUGUGAAGAAAUGACUGUUUAUGUAGCAAAGAUUGCAUUUUUGUUUUCUCUAGAUAGUGUUAUACCAAAAAUUCAGUAGGAAAUUUAACUAAUAGAUUUAGAAAUUCGAACAUGAAAGCUUGUUUUGAUGGCUGUUGUUGACACAAGUGUGUGUGUAUGUUUUAAGGUGCAUCUCAAUCGCCCUUUAAGUCGUUAUAUGACAAGUUGCAAGACAUACUUUGCUGUUCUACAUUACCAAACAACUAUAAGAGGCUAGACGCGACGCUUGAGAAGAAAAUGAUGGAGAUCAAGAGGAACCCUUCGAGGAAUCACAGUUUCAAAUCAUUCGACACCAUAAUCAUGAAAUUCCCUCAGUUCAGGGAGGGGCUGAAAGAGAUCAGGGACAUAUUUGAGCAGUAUGGUGAGUUCUCAACUCCUAUUCACAUCAUAUUUCUAGCUCUUCUUCUUGAUGAUGAUGAUGAUGAUGAUGAGUCUUUUUCUUGCCUUGGCAUAGAUGAAGACUUCAACGGUACUAUUGACAAUCAAGAGCUCAAGAAAUGCUUGCACGCGUUUGAGUUUAGCAUCAGUGACGAGGAGAUUGGUGAUCUUGUCGGCUACUGUGAUAUAGAUGAAAAGGAAGGGAUACAAUUAAAGGAGUUUAUAGUUCUUGUAUUUCUCAUUUAUCUUCUCACGGAUGCUCCAGCUGCACCUAACACGGUAUAAGCAUACAUCCUUGUUUGCUUACACGGGCUCUGUUAUCUGGUGAUUAACUCACUGAUAUAUCUGAACUUGCUGCAGAAAUUGAAGAUGUGUUCGCCUCAGAUUGAAGCGACCUUCAACGCAAUAAUUGAAGUGUUUGUAUUUCUUGAUAAAAACGGUGUUGGGAAGCUGAAGAAGAAGGAUGUGGUGAAGGCACUAAACGAGGCUUCUCCAAAGGAGAAAUCGCCCUCACACAUCACACACAGCCGUUUUAGUUAUGUAACCUAACCUCCUUUAUCUUUUUGAAUAUUUAGUUUCCUCAAGUUGCAUAAGCAAGAGGUGUGUUUGGGUUAUAACAGUAGCAGCAUUGUUACUUAUGCAGAAGAGAUGGACUGGGAUAAGAAUGGAAAAGUUAGCUUCAAGGAAUUCCUCUUCUCGUUUAUGGGUUGGGUCGGGAUCGAUUGUGAUGAUGAAGAUCCUGAAGCGUAGUUAGAUGAAGCAGGGGAGCUGUCUGAAACGAGCGAGCGAGGUUAGAGCCAUGUAUAUUUGAUAACUUAUUCAAACUGUACAAUACAUAACUCGUUUAUACAAAUAUCUCAUCUGUAUGCUGUAUGUUCCUCUUCCUUGAUUAUAUCUUUCAUUGAUUUUGGAUUAGUUGUUGUAAAACACAUGAGUCUUAUAUUACGUCAAAUGUGAUUCACUCCACCAAUACAUUGUACAUGCUGUUUACACUUCUCUUUGAUGGAAAACAUGUAUUUUCACCAUUUUCAAUUCCCACUCUUUUUUACUUCAAUUCAUGAUAAAGGUAGUGUGUGAUGAUAUUUGUAUUUUAAGGAAAGGUUAUGGCCUGAAUUGUCAAUAUGCUCAUCAAGUUUUGCACAUUUCCAUGGCCUUGUUUAUAUAGGCUCCAUAUGAGUUGGGCCAAUUUCCAUUUUUUUUCUUUUUAUCAUUCUUCUUCUUAUUCUUCCUUUUUAUUGUUAGGAUUUACUUUUCUCAAGUAAAUAUCACACAUUGCCCAAAAUUGUCAUGUGCGUAUUGCAACCUUAUGUAUGAAAUGAAAAUAACCCACAUUCAUGUUGCACAAGUUACACGAGGGUUUCACAUUUAAUAUCAUACUAGUGCGCCUACGGGCCAAGACAUAUUUAUUUAUGUUUAACAAUUUUAAAUUAUACUCCAUCGGUCCUCUAAAUAACUUCCUAGUAAGGAACAUGGCCGGCCCUGACAUUCCGGGAGCCCUAGGUGAAAAGGAAAAAAAGGCCCCCUAAAAGAAGAAGCUUGGAGAAGUUGUAGUAAAUUUGAGAUGGCUGUAACAUUGACCAUAAAGUGCAAUAAACUAACAAUGAUAAAAUAAUUAUAAAAAUAACUUAGAUCUUCUAGCAUUUUGAGACGCAAAAUCAUCAAUAAUUUCUUCAAGAUCAAGCUUUUCUAAUACCUCAUGUUCAACGCAUAAAAUCGCUAAUCCAUUCAACCUUUCUUGAGAUACAGUAGAACGCAAAUAUGAUUUUAUCAAUUUUAAUUUUGAAGGGUUAAGUACCAAAUCCCCCCCCAACGUUGGGCCCCUAUCGCAAAUAGGACCUUAUACUCAGGGUAAGCGCUGUUUACUACCUCAACGUGGCUAAUUUUAAACAAAUCCCCCCCUGCGUUUUAACGGCCCCAAACGCCGUCUGUGAAUUUUUUUUUUUUUUAAUGCAGGUGGGCCCUCUUAAAUACUAUACGAUUCCUUCUCCGAUCGAAAUCCUCCCAUGGAUUCUCUCCCUCCGCAUCUCUCCACCACGCGCCGCCGCGGAUCCACUUCCCAAAUGUGUCUGCACAGGAUUCUAACCACAAUCGCCACCGUGCCCCCGCCGCCCUCGUUUAUGCCACCGAAAAUUGAAGAGACGGACGGCGGGGCGAACCCCAAUUCAGAGGGAGGUCGAGAAAUUGAGAAUCAAACCCCAAUUUUUGGAGAAAUCGAACCCCCAAUUGUGCGGCGGAGGCGGCGGAGGAGGAGAAUGGAUUGCUGUGGGUAGGCGACAGAGGCCGUCGAGGAAGGCGGCAGAUCUGUGAUGGUGGUGGGGAAAGGCGGUGGAGGCGGCGACUGGGGCUGGGCGAAGGCGAGGCGGCACAGACGCCGUGGCGAGAGAAGCGGUGCAGGCGUUCGAGGAGCGGAGGGCAGCAGCCUCUCCUUGACUGUGUUGCCGAGAUGUGAGGAGAAGAGAGAGAUCAGACACGCGAACGGGACGCGCGCCGAAGUUCAGACGCCGCCGGUCGCGAAAGAGGGCGAAAAUGCAGCGGCGCGGUCCUCCAUGGCCGCCAUCAACUGAUAUGUGCUGGAGAGAGAUAAGGGCUGAGCUGGUGGUGGCGGGGGAAGCGGCAGCGGAGGUUGGGGAUUUGCUGGAGAGAGAAAAUGGGGCCCACCUGCAUUAAAAUUAAAAAAAAAAAAUCACAGACGGCGUUUGGGGCCGUUAAAACGCAGGGGGGAUUUGUUUAAAAUUAGCCACGUUGAGGUAGUAAACAGCGCUUACCCUGAGUAUAGGGUCCUAUUUGCGAUAGGGGCCCCAACGUUGGGGUGGGAUUUGGUACUUAACCCUAUGGAAAAAAAUGUAAAGUAUAUUUCCUCAUCUUCAUCUUCUACAAGCUCCUUCAGCAAAAAUCUUAUUUCUAAUCAAAAUAUUAUAUGUAAUAUUUUUUUAUAUAGAUUCAAAUUUACAAAACCGGUUACCUUAUAUUUAUAGAUCCAAUCGAUUUUUUGCAUUUUUUGCAAUAAUCUCCGAUUUUGCUUUCUUUUAGGAACACCUCAUGACUCAUAAUACCAUGAUUCUUCAGGGUGAAAGUCAAUUAUUGUGCCUUUGGAGAUAUAGUUUCCACUCUAUAAAUUGAAAGAUAAUUAUUUUCUAAUUCUGAAAAUAUUUUAAAAUAUGUAUAGCAAAUUAAAAAUUACCUCAAAGUUUUUCAUUUCUUUAAUUGUUUUCACUAAAGCAGGUUUCAACCAUUCUUCACUUUUUACUUCUCGGCUAACGUUGGAAAUAUUAGCUAUGAUGUUAUUGUUGGAAUCUUCAGCAGAAAUCAACAAACAGAUUCUCACAAUUCUACGCAUAAUACAUAAUCAUACAUAGAUAUAGCGCUCCAACAACUAUCUCUUAAUCCUCAGUCACAACACUAAUAACCUAAAAAAAAGUUAAGGGGUGAAUAAAUACCUCUACGUAGAAAGAGAACAGAAACUUCAACUUGCCAACCGGUAGAGCAGCGGAGAAAGAAAGCAGAACCGGGAGGGGGAAAGCAGAACCGAUGAGAAUAGUUCACGUUAAAGAUAUAAAAAUAAUUAUACACCUUUUUAUAGAUGAAAUAUAAGAUAGUUAAUUUGACAAAGAAUUCUACCUUUGAUAGGAUUUAUCUAAGAAUUUGAGUUUAUCUAUAAUUUGUUAAUAAUUGUGAUGUUGAUCAAAUACAUGUUAAUAAUUAAAAUCAAGAGAAAAAGAUAAAGAUGAUAUGUUGAAGUAAAUAAAAUAAGAAAUGUGUUGAUUCCAUUUAGUCUUUCCUUGGAGCUCAAACGUGGAAAUUAGAUAUAUAUGAUUGGGAUAUAAUUAAUGCAUAAGAAAUUAGAUACAAAUUUGAUGAUUAAAAAUUUAGAAAAAAUAAGAAUGAAUGAGAAUUGAGAAAAAUUAGAAUAGAGUGAUUCUAUGACGCCACAUAGGAUAGAGCUUAUUUUGCUUUUAUAUAUAUUAUAUAUAGGGAGAAGAUCCAUGGAGAAUGAUAAAUAUUUUGAGAAUAGAGAAUGCGUUCGAAUAAGUCUGAAAUUUCGAUGAAUAAAUCAAUAUAUCGUAUGAAUAAGAUUUUUGGCCAUGGUUCGAAUCCUGAUAUGGGCGAGAUUUUCAUUAUUUUUACCAUAUUUACUGAAUACAUCUGUUCAUUAUUUAUGUUGAUCUAUUCGUAAAAUUUAUAGGCUUAUUCGUUAUUUUUCAUUCUCUCGAAAAAUAUAAUUCUCUAUGGAUCCCUACCCUAUAUAUAUA
RNAcentral lists this long non-coding RNA (7273 nucleotides) under Salvia miltiorrhiza (redroot sage). Its description in RNAcentral is "long non-coding RNA (SMIL_LNC010864)". Lineage: Eukaryota; Viridiplantae; Streptophyta; Magnoliopsida; Lamiales; Lamiaceae. The record is from RNAcentral.